CACACAGAGAGCAUGGCACACAGAG
RNAcentral lists this non-coding RNA (25 nucleotides) under Cricetulus griseus (Chinese hamster). The record is from RNAcentral. Lineage: Eukaryota; Metazoa; Chordata; Mammalia; Rodentia; Cricetidae.